Molecule: ribosomal RNA, 500 nt
Filed under: uncultured bacterium
Lineage: Bacteria
Description: partial 16S ribosomal RNA
Rfam family: Bacterial small subunit ribosomal RNA
Source: RNAcentral
AUUGAACGCUGGCGGCAUGCCUUACACAUGCAAGUCGAACGGCAGCACGGGAGCAAUCCUGGUGGCGAGUGGCGAACGGGUGAGUAAUAUAUCGGAACGUGCCCAGUCGUGGGGGAUAACGUAGCGAAAGCUACGCUAAUACCGCAUACGAUCUAUGGAUGAAAGCGGGGGAUCGCAAGACCUCGCGGGAUUGGAGCGGACGAUAUCAGAUUAGGUAGUUGGGGAGGAAAAGGCUCACCAAGCCGACGAUCUGUAGCUGGUCUGAGAGGACGACCAGCCACACUGGGACUGAGACACGGCCCAGACUCCUACGGGAGGCAGCAGUGGGGAAUUUUGGACAAUGGGCGCAAGCCUGAUCCAGCAAUGCCGCGUGCAGGAUGAAGGCCUUCGGGUUGUAAACUGCUUUUGUACGGAACGAAACGGUGAGCUCUAAUACAGUUUGCUAAUGACGGUACCGUAAGAAUAAGCACCGGCUAACUACGUGCCAGCCGCCGCCGUAA